UCGCGGCUUAUCACCGGCAGUCUCCUUAGAGUGCUCAACUAAAUGGUAGCAACUAAGGACGGGGGUUGCGCUCGUUGCGGGACUUAACCCAACAUCUCACGACACGAGCUGACGACGGCCAUGCAGCACCUUUCACUAGGCUCCCGAAGGCACUCCACCGUUUCCGGCGGAUUCCUAGGAUGUCAAGCCUGGGUAAGGUUCUACGCGUAGCGUCAUAUUAAACCACAUCAUCCUCUGCUUGUGCGGGUCCCCGUCAAUUCCUUUGAGUUUUAGCCUUGCGGCCGUACUUCCCAGGCGGCAUACUUAUCGCGUUAGCUGCGUCUCACAGGGGGUCGAUACCCCAUAAGACUAGUAUGCAUCGUUUACGGCGUGGACUAC
RNAcentral lists this unclassified non-coding RNA (378 nucleotides) under uncultured bacterium. Its description in RNAcentral is "contains 16S-23S intergenic spacer region". The record is from RNAcentral.